This 645-nucleotide ribosomal RNA is filed under the name Salmonella enterica. RNAcentral describes it as "partial 23S ribosomal RNA". It matches the Rfam family "Bacterial large subunit ribosomal RNA", at positions 568 to 1215 of the family's 2925-position model. RNAcentral also lists the same sequence under 2 other names. Lineage: Bacteria; Pseudomonadati; Pseudomonadota; Gammaproteobacteria; Enterobacterales; Enterobacteriaceae. The record is from RNAcentral.
AAGCAGAGGGGGCUUAGUGGUGGGGUGACUGCGUACCUUUUGUAUAAUGGGUCAGCGACUUAUAUUCUGUAGCAAGGUUAACCGAAUAGGGGAGCCGGAGGGAAACCGAGUCUUAAUUGGGCGUUAAGUUGCAGGGUAUAGACCCGAAACCCGGUGAUCUAGCCAUGGGCAGGUUGAAGGUUGGGUAACACUAACUGGAGGACCGAACCGGCUAAUGUUGAAAAAUUAGCGGAUGACCUGUGGCUGGGGGUGAAAGGCCAAUCAAACCGGGAGAUAGCUGGUUCUCCCCGAAAGCUAUUUAGGUAGCGCCUCGUGAAUUCAUCUCCGGGGGUAGAGCACUGUUUCGGCUAGGGGGCCAUCCCGGCUUACCAACCCGAUGCAAACUGCGAAUACCGGAGAAUGCUAUCACGGGAGACACACGGCGGGUGCUAACGUCCGUCGUGAAGAGGGAAACAACCCAGACCGCCAGCUAAGGUCCCAAAGUCAUGGUUAAGUGGGAAACGAUGUGGGAAGGCCCAGACAGCCAGGAUGUUGGCUUAGAAGCAGCCAUCAUUUAAAGAAAGCGUAAUAGCUCACUGGUCGAGUCGGCCUGCGCGGAAGAUGUAACGGGGCUAAACCAUGCACCGAAGCUGCGGCAGCGACGCU